GAGAGAAAGUUCAAUUCUAGAGAGAGAAAGUAAUGGUUCAAGCUGAAGGGAGAGAGAGAAAAAUUUUCUCUCAUAUUUAUUUAUUUAUCUAUUUAUUUAUUUUUUUCUUUUUUUUUCUUUCCUUCUUCUACUUCUUCCCGUGGCCUCCAUGGGUGAAAAAAAUAUGAAACAAGGGACCGAAUGGUCUCCUCAUAAGGUUGGCCGACCGACGGUCGACCGGCAUGAGAAUGGCC
Molecule: long non-coding RNA, 233 nt
Filed under: Elaeis guineensis (African oil palm)
Lineage: Eukaryota; Viridiplantae; Streptophyta; Magnoliopsida; Arecales; Arecaceae
Description: long non-coding RNA (EGUI_LNC076690)
Source: RNAcentral